This 492-nucleotide ribosomal RNA is filed under the name uncultured bacterium. Its description in RNAcentral is "partial 16S ribosomal RNA". It matches the Rfam family "Bacterial small subunit ribosomal RNA", at positions 29 to 507 of the family's 1533-position model. The record is from RNAcentral.
AGUGAACGCUGGCGGUAGGCCUAACACAUGCAAGUCGAACGGCAGCACAGUAAGAGCUUGCUCUUACGGGUGGCGAGUGGCGGACGGGUGAGGAAUACAUCGGAAUCUACUUUUUCGUGGGGGAUAACGUAGGGAAACUUACGCUAAUACAGCAUACGACCUACGGGUGAAAGCAGGGGAUCUUCGCACCUUGCGCGAUUGAAUGAGCCGAGGUCGGAUUAGCUAGUUGGCGGGGUAAAGGCCCACCAAGGCGACGAUCCGUAGCUGGUCUGAGAGGAUGAUCAGCCACACUGGAACUGAGACACGGUCCAGACUCCUACGGGAGGCAGCAGUGGGGAAUAUUGGACAAUGGGCGCAAGCCUGAUCCAGCCAUACCGCGUGGGUGAAGAAGGCCUUCGGGUUGUAAAGCCCUUUUGUUGGGAAAGAAAAGCAGCAGGUUAAUACCCCGCUGUUCUGACGGUACCCAAAGAAUAAGCACCGGCUAACUUCGUG